UACGUAGGGUGCGAGUGUUACUCGGAAUUACUGGGCGUAAAGCGUGCGCAGGCGGUUUUGUAAGCCAGAUGUGAAAUCCCCGGGCUUAACCUGGGAAUGGCAUUUGGGACUGCAAGGCUUGAGUGCGGCAGAGGAGACUGGAAUUCCUGGUGUAGCAGUGAAAUGCGUAGAUAUCAGGAGGAAUACCGAUGGCGAAGGCAGGUCUCUGGGCUGACACUGACGCUCAUGCACGAAAGCGUGGGGAGCAAACAGG
RNAcentral lists this ribosomal RNA (253 nucleotides) under uncultured bacterium. RNAcentral's name for it is "partial 16S ribosomal RNA". It matches the Rfam family "Bacterial small subunit ribosomal RNA", at positions 524 to 776 of the family's 1533-position model. The record is from RNAcentral.